GCGCUCGUAGCUCAGCUGGAUAGAGCAACGGCCUUCUAAGCCGUGGGUCGCAGGUUCGAGUCCUGCCGGGCGUGCCA
RNAcentral lists this transfer RNA (77 nucleotides) under Marinibactrum halimedae. Its description in RNAcentral is "tRNA-Arg". It matches the Rfam family "tRNA". Rfam says of the family: Transfer RNA (tRNA) molecules are approximately 80 nucleotides in length. Their secondary structure includes four short double-helical elements and three loops (D, anti-codon, and T loops). Further hydrogen bonds mediate the characteristic L-shaped molecular structure. tRNAs have two regions of fundamental functional importance: the anti-codon, which is responsible for specific mRNA codon recognition, and the 3' end, to which the tRNAs corresponding amino acid is attached (by aminoacyl-tRNA synthetases). tRNAs cope with the degeneracy of the genetic code in two manners: having more than one tRNA (with a specific anti-codon) for a particular amino acid; and 'wobble' base-pairing, i.e. permitting non-standard base-pairing at the 3rd anti-codon position. Lineage: Bacteria; Pseudomonadati; Pseudomonadota; Gammaproteobacteria; Cellvibrionales; Cellvibrionaceae. The record is from RNAcentral.